Molecule: long non-coding RNA, 6300 nt
Filed under: Brassica rapa (field mustard)
Lineage: Eukaryota; Viridiplantae; Streptophyta; Magnoliopsida; Brassicales; Brassicaceae
Description: long non-coding RNA (BRAP_LNC001519)
Source: RNAcentral
CCCUUUGUAAGAAGUGUUUUAAAGAAGAAGAGAUCCCCAUCUAAUAAGGAGAUAGUUCCUUAUUUAUAGAAGAAAGAUGACUAGGGUUUCAUAGUAAAAUGGGUCUAAUUUAUUGUCUAAUGGGCCUUGAGGUAGAAUGUAAAUCUACCCCCAACAAGGCAUGCGAUGAUCUUGGAGGAGAAUUCUGCGAACCUGACUAUCAAAAAGAUGUCUAUUAGAAGAAAACAGGAUUUGAAUGUGAUGUUGAUAUGUGUUUGUAUCUUUAUAACCACUCAUUAGUAUAUAAAAGAUAGCUUCACUUUAUCAAGACUGAAGUUGUGAACAGACCCAAGUUCCCAAAGUUAAUAAUACAGUAGUGAUUUAAAUUACAUGGUAUAUUAAUCAACACAAUAAUGAAGAAAAUCUCAGACUAGUUUAAGUAACUUAGCGCAUGCAUGUAAAUCUUGUAAAAUCCAUGUCUUAGACUAGUAAAUUACAUCUGCUGCACCGGUUUUUUCUUUAACAUUUUGACACUUCUAUAAAUUGUGGAUGAGUUAUAAACUCUGACUUUUCAUUUUACCUCCAAACGUUAAAUGAUGUUUUUCAUCUAUAUUGUGAAAUUAUGUUUUGUUACCAAACUUCGAAAUAAUCGUUUAUUAUAUUUUUUUUUAGUUUUACAUGUUGGAGUUAUACUAUUAUAAUUAAUUUUAGAAUAUAGUUUGAAACUAAAAGGAAUUAGAAACUAAAAAGUACACUGUUGAUAUUUUUAUUGUAAAUAUAAGUUUGAUGAUUGUUUUUACUUAAAAAUAAAUUAUACUAGGAUCGGCCCGUCCUACGGGCGGGAUAUAUUUUACUUGUGAUAUAGGUUAUUAUUUUUAUAUAAUUUUGUGGUUUGUGUUUUAGAUUCACAUUUGCAAGAGAUAUGUAUGAGGUAUCCUAUUUUAUUUUAAGGUUUUGGUUAGUUUGUUUGUAAGUAAUUUUUGUUUUGACUUUUUUUUUGCUUCUAUGAUAUCACCAUUUCUAUGACAUCAUCAUGAUUGAGUUAUUUUGUCAUUUUAGUUAAAUAAUUUGUAUUUAACAACUAAUAUAUAUGACCUUUUUUAGGCUGGCCUUUGCAUAAUUUUCCAAAAAGAAAAUUUCAACUUUGGAGAAAAACUGGCAAUCAGAACAUUAGCUAUCCAGUUGGGUUGGAAAUGAUGUUCCUAGGUUGGGAAUGUUAUUCCUGGUGUUCAUCGGUCUUAUUUCUUAAGUUCAUUGUUGGGUGAUACUUGGUUUCGGUAAAUAAGCUCUACUUGUUUUGUGUAAUGGUUGCUAUUUUUUGUUAUUUGUGUGUUAAAAUUACGAAUGGAAUUGAUAUGUAUAAUAAUGAUGUAUGUUUUCUAAUAUACUUGAGGUGGGUGGUUUGAUUGGAAAAGAGAUUAUCUGUGGUAUGAUUUAUUGCUUGCUCUUAAUGGUUAUGUAUUCAUUAUAGUGUUGGUUUGGAAUGUUUUUUUUUGUUUGUAUAAUUGCCAUUUCAUCAUUUAUCAUUUUCACCUCUCAUUUUUAAUUACAUUUCAGUUUAAAAGUUACUUACUCAAAUAUUCUAUUUACCUAUAAGAAAUGUAGAUUUCUUUUAUUACAUGUUUUGAAUUCUAAAAACGUAUAUUUAUAAAAUUUAAUAUGUAAUGUUACGAUAAAAUACUAUCAUAUUAUAUUUUGUUUAGAAAUGUAUAAUAGAAUUGUAAUUAUAAUAUAUAUCUUUAUAUAUAUCUGACAUGUAAUAUUACAUUUGUAUAGUGUUGUGUUCUAUUGUAUUUACGAAGCAUAAAAUAUAAAUUUGUAAUUAUACAAAUUAUUUCCCUGCCUCUUUCUAUAUUUUAUUGUAAAAAAAAAAUAUUGUCCAAGUUAGUGACAAAUUAUCACAUUAUUUCUCUACCAAUAUAACAUAAUUAUUUUUAAAUAUUCUAAUUCGUAUUUAUAUUCGACAAAUUCUCCAAUAUCUUAAUAUUGGUGUUGAAGUUAUAUUUUAAUUAGUUUUUUUUCCUCUACUGUUUUUAUAAACAAAUAUUUUCAAUUAUCGUAGUAUUUAAAUUUUCAUUUUUUAUAUUGUGUUUAUUAGUUCUUGGUCUUUUAUCUUUUUCUUUAAUUCACAAUACUUGUUAUGGACAACAUUGUAGAUUUUUUACUAUGAUGUUUGACUUGUUCUAUCAUGUUUAAGGUCCAUUAGAGCAUCAUUAUCCUACCAACUCAUAAUGGGUUGCUUAAUAAUAUAAUAAUAGUAUUUAAGGAGAUAAUUUGGGUAAGAGACUUAGCUAAGCAACUUGACAUUUUUCCUCCUCCAUUGCAAGGCUCUUAUUUUAGGGUGCUUAAAAAUUUUAAAGAUUCUUUUGCCAAUAUUAUGUUCUUCAAAGGAGACAAUUCAAUACACAAAACAUACGGCAAAAGAGGAGAAGAGAAGAAGAGUAUUCACUUGUUAGAAUCCGGCCAUCCUCCAGGAAAUAAGAGAUGGAGGAUGGCCGGAUUCUAACAAGUGAAUACUCUUCUUCUCUUCUCCUCAAUAGUUUUGAGGAGGUUCUCUCAAUAGUUUUCUUUGUAAACAUUAUUUAAUAUAUUCAAGAAAAUCUUUUGUAAAAAAACAUAUAGAAAUCAUUGUAUCAUUGUUCAAAGUUUUAAACCGGUAGUCAAUUUCAAACAUAUUACCACUCAAAAAGUUUCAAAUUUACGUUGUACUUAAACUUAGUGAUCAAAGAUGAUCACAUCACAACUUUACAACAAUCAUAGAGAAGAGAAAACAACUUGCAUCUAAAAAGCUUUGAAGAAACACAACAUUGUAACUUAAGCUGAAUCAAAUACAAAAAGGAACCCAAGUACACUAAGUUCUUUCACAUGGAGAACACGUACAGUAAAUGCUACUUUCAUCAACUUCUGAAAAUUCCCAGAAACAACAAUUGCUUUGUGUAGGAUCAUCUUCUUUUUGGGCAAAGAAUUAACAUACCUUUACCUUAUGUGCAACUAAUUUCCUUGGUUUUGGUGGAAGAGCAGAGCUUAAUCUUUCAGUUUCUUUUCUUUUCUUCCAGCAAGGCAAGGUUCUGAAGCUUCUUUUCCUUGAAUCUUAUCGUUCUGAUCAUAAGAAGAAGAUCCUUCUGUACAAACAAAAACAAACACGAUGAGUUAUCUAUAAAAAUUAAACACUGCAAUUAAGUCUUUUUAUCUAUAAAAAGUCUUUUAUGCAUACAUGACAGACCUCAGAGAGAACAAUAUAGAUAUUUUCAACCCCACGUUUAAUAUGAAACAGAUAAGUAUGUUCAGGAUCAUGAAAGAUCAUUAAUUUAGCGACCAGCUAAUGACGAAUACUCAAUUUAGCAAAACAUUCCAAGAUUAUAUUCAUUUUGGUAAUGAGUUUGCUUCUAACCAAGUGUUCAUGGAAGCUCUGUAUGUUGAGAAAAAACAUGCAUCAAAAUUUGAUUGUCAAUAAGAUGCGUUUGAAUAUGCAGAAAGGCUGAGGUUACCACACCGACAUUAAGAAAGCAUGUUACCACGGCGGUGAUGUCGUCCCAAAGAGAUGGAGAUUAAGUGAGUUGGUGUUUCCAUUAAAACAGUGCCGAAGAAUUGAACUUCCUCAACGCCGCCGGCUACCAAACCAAACACCAUGAAAGCUCUUCCCAGAGUUUCACCUGCGCUAAUGGAGUAAUUGUCUUGAACCGUCGAUCAAUUUCUUCAAAGAGAACCAAGAACUCUCAUCUCAACUCAUCUCCUCACAGAGAAACUUCGCCAUAGCCUUUCGAGAAAGCCCGCUUCACAGUGAAUGGAGGCAGCAAAGAUCUUCAACCACCACGUGGCUUGUGUUGAGCCAACUGUAGAUAAGACAAAAACUAUCAGAAUCGAUCCGAGGUGUUUAUCAAACUAUCUUGGGGAGAGAAAGAGAAAGAAAAAAAGAACAAAACUACAGUUUUAUAAACACCAAUCCAAAACUACUAAAUAAAAUUUUUAUUAGGGUUUGUGAGGAUGAUGUUCAAGGAAAGUAUGCUAACCUUUAUAUAGUGUAGAUACACCGCCUUGAAGAGGAAGACGAUGUAGUUAAGAAGUGUGAUAAUGGCUUCGGCAAAUCGAAACUGACGAAUAGAAUAGAAGCCGAAACAAUGCUACUCGAAGAUUCACAAGAGCUUCUUCAAAUCGAUUCGACUCACUCAAUAUCUCGAAACUCCAUUGUUCGUGUCAGAGAGAUUUCGGUAGCGGCGACUUGGAGAAGACACAACUCUCUGUAUUGGGUUAGAUUUGUUGAGUAAUACGUUAAAACCCAAACAUUAUUUCGCGAGGCUCAUAUAAGGAAACACAACGACACGUGGCAAGUUUUUCUUCCUCCACUUAAUGACGUGGCAAUCAAACAUAUUUUUAUAUAAUUAGAUGUUCUUGAACUAUGAAACCAAAUUAAUUAUUUAGAAAAUGUUAAUUUAAAACAGAAAUUUUUUAGUAAUUUGAUACAUUUUACACCCGAAUCUUUUUUGUCAACAACAUAAAAAAAAGAGAAAAAGACUAGGAUAGCACCAAACCAAGUUUUUGUUCCCAAAGUAGCACUCAAGGCUCAAAGUCACAAAAAUAGGUUUCAUUAAAGAGGUAAAUAUACACUUAUACCCCUUGGGUUAAUUAAUCCAAACCUUAGGGUUUAGAGUUAAGGGGUGGGGUUUUGGAAUUAGGGUUUAAAAUUUUAUAAAAAAUAAAUACUAAAAUAAAAAUAAAAAUUUUAAAAACAGUUUCAAAAAGUAUUUUUAAAUUAUAAAAAAAAUUUGAAAAAAAAAAUUCAAAAAAAAAAUUUCAAAAAAAAAAUUAUAAAAAUUUCGAAUCUGAAAACACAUAAUCUGAAACUAUAAAAAAAGAAUUUUUUAUUUUUUUAUUUUUAUUUUAUUUAUUUAUAUUUAUUUUUGUUUGUUUAUUUAAUUUUAAACCAAGGGUAUUAGGGAUAUUUUACCCUUUAAUGAAUGUCAUUUUUGUGAAUUUCUCCUUCUAGUGCUAUUUUUGAGACAUAAACUUCAAAAGGUGCUAUUAUUGACAAUUGCCCUAAAAAAAAUAUCCAAUUUUUGUAAAAUUUCAUAAAAAAAUAAUUUUGCAUCCAAAUACAGUUACAAAAUGCCAAAAUUCUUCUAACUAAUGAUAUUAAAGUGUUUUAUCUAAUUGUUAUUUUGAUGUUGAAUUAGACUGCGACGUCAAAAAAAAAAGGAACAAGAUCAACUGUUUGUCUCUGGAUCAUUUCAACAGCUGUAAUUGCUUUGGCAAGGUAAAUGGUUUACAUAUCUAUUGUAAAUCUAAAACUGUCUAUACCAUAUAUAGAUGAGAUUUUUUCAUAUUUCAGGAUUUGAAAGAAUUUAACCUAAGUUCCGAUUAUAUUUCCGAUUACAAACAACAUAUAUAAGGGUGAUCAAUAAAAUUUUACUCUUGAUCGUUGUUCAUGCUUGUUAUUGUUUACUUCACGUUUUCGCAGUGCCAACAUAAAUUUUUCCUAAUAAUACACAGAUAUGGAACGUGGUGCAGCUAUUGCACGUGAUAUGGAACGUGAUGCAGCAAAUCUCGUUUGAAUCUUGAUGUAUACUUUUAUAUCACGAUAUUUUCUUUUGAAUUAGUCUUUUCUGCUUUUUUAUCAAUGGUUUAUUUAUUUAUAUGUUUUAAAUUGUCAAUAAACUCUAGCGUUGGUUGAACUUUAUUUAUAAGUUUCAUAUUCUAUUUACCUUUUGACAAGGUGUUCAUAACUAAUUAAAUGAUGUGUAAACACAACAUACAAAAGCAGUUCUUUUAGGAAAAUUCAUUCUCGAUUUGUGUCUUCCUUUCUAUUUAUAAUGUAAUAUAGAACUAAACUUCUCUCUAAACUUGGAAACAACUAAAUGUCCACUGGUAGGUUCAGAAGAACUUGUUCUACUCUUGUCCAUUAUCUCAGGAACGUAGUAUAUAUUGACAAUUUAAUUAUUCGCAAUAUCAAAAUAUUAAAAGAAAGAUAUAAGACAUACCCGUCUUGAGUCUUUCACUUAGUCUUGCUAUUUAUGCCCAUCAAACGUCACUUCAGUCUCAUCAGCAUAGGCAAGAAUUUCCAUUCUUUGAAAAUGUUGAGAGGGGAUAACCGAUUCGUUCACAUAUCCCCUUUACUAGAAUCCCAAAAUGCAAGAUCAUAUAUCUGCAACACUUUCUUUAUUUAACUCAGUUUCUCUGGUAGUGUUCUGAUUUUGUAUUUUUGGACUCUUUAUUUUUUUAAUAAAAAAAGAGAGUGUAUUUUUGGAUUUGGAAACAGGGUUUUCGUUGCAGAGGCAUGCGAUGAACUUCGAGGAGAGUUCUGCGAACCUGACUAUCAAAAAGAUG